UGGCGGUGAUGAGAACCUUGCAGUAGCUGAAUGUGGGUGAUUGUUGCAUACGCUAUUCUGAGCCGACU
This 68-nucleotide small nucleolar RNA is filed under the name Notamacropus eugenii (tammar wallaby). Its description in RNAcentral is "Small nucleolar RNA U54 (ENSMEUG00000017767.1)". It matches the Rfam family "Small nucleolar RNA U54". The record is from RNAcentral. Lineage: Eukaryota; Metazoa; Chordata; Mammalia; Diprotodontia; Macropodidae.